Molecule: ribosomal RNA, 301 nt
Filed under: uncultured bacterium
Lineage: Bacteria
Description: partial 16S ribosomal RNA
Rfam family: Bacterial small subunit ribosomal RNA
Source: RNAcentral
CAGUCGCCGCGGUAAUACGUAGGGCGCAAGCGUUGUCCGGAAUUAUUGGGCGUAAAGAGCUCGUAGGCGGUUUGUCGCGUCUGGUGUGAAAACCUCAGGCUCAACCUGGGGCGUGCAUCGGGUACGGGCAGACUAGAGUGCGGUAGGGGAGACUGGAAUUCCUGGUGUAGCGGUGGAAUGCGCAGAUAUCAGGAGGAACACCGAUGGCGAAGGCAGGUCUCUGGGCCGCAACUGACGCUGAGGAGCGAAAGCAUGGGGAGCGAACAGGAUUAGAUACCCCGGUAGUCCCUGUCUCUUAUAC